GAUGAACGCUGGCGGCGUGCCUAAUACAUGCAAGUCGAGCGAACGGACGAGAAGCUUGCUCCUCUGAUGUUAGCGGCGGACGGGUGAGUAACACGUGGAUAACCUACCUAUAAGACUGGGAUAACUUCGGGAAACCGGAGCUAAUACCGGAUAAUAUUUUGAACCGCAUGGUUCAAAAGUGAAAGACGGUCUUGCUGUCACUUAUAGAUGGAUACGCGCUGCAUUAGCUAGUUGGUAAGGUAACGGCUUACCAAGGCAACGAUGCAUAGCCGACCUGAGAGGGUGAUCGGCCACACUGGAACUGAGACACGGUCCAGACUCCUACGGGAGGCAGCAGUAGGGAAUCUUCCGCAAUGGGCGAAAGCCUGACGGAGCAACGCCGCGUGAGUGAUGAAGGUCUUCGGAUCGUAAAACUCUGUUAUUAGGGAAGAACAUAUGUGUAAGUAACUGUGCACAUCUUGACGGUACCUAAUCAGAAAGCCACGGCUAACUACGUG
This 497-nucleotide ribosomal RNA is filed under the name uncultured bacterium. RNAcentral's name for it is "partial 16S ribosomal RNA". It matches the Rfam family "Bacterial small subunit ribosomal RNA", at positions 28 to 507 of the family's 1533-position model. The record is from RNAcentral.